RNAcentral lists this small nucleolar RNA (98 nucleotides) under Thalictrum thalictroides. RNAcentral describes it as "Small nucleolar RNA Z157/R69/R10". It matches the Rfam family "Small nucleolar RNA Z157/R69/R10". From Rfam's summary of the family: Z157, R69 and R10 are members of the C/D class of snoRNA which contain the C (UGAUGA) and D (CUGA) box motifs. The record is from Rfam by way of RNAcentral. Lineage: Eukaryota; Viridiplantae; Streptophyta; Magnoliopsida; Ranunculales; Ranunculaceae.
AUUGGUGUGGUGAUGAAGUCUUUAUAUAUGGACUAGAGUUUCUGAUCUGGGUAUUACCCAGAAGUUGAAGACUAACCCUUGGCUGUCUGAGCACCAAU